ACGAACGCUGGCGGCAUGCCUCACACAUGCAAGUCGAACGAGACCUUCGGGUCUAGUGGCGCACGGGUGCGUAACGCGUGGGAACCUGCCCUUAGGUUCGGAAUAACUCCCCGAAAGGGGUGCUAAUACCGGAUAAUGUCUUCGGACCAAAGAUUUAUCGCCUUUGGAUGGGCCCGCGUUGGAUUAGCUAGUUGGUAGGGUAAAAGCCUACCAAGGCGACGAUCCAUAGCUGGUCUGAGAGGAUGAUCAGCCACACUGGGACUGAGACACGGCCCAGACUCCUACGGGAGGCAGCAGUGGGGAAUAUUGGACAAUGGGCGAAAGCCUGAUCCAGCAAUGCCGCGUGAGUGAUGAAGGCCUUAGGGUUGUAAAGCUCUUUUACCCGGGAUGAUAAUGACAGUACCGGGAGAAUAAGCUCCGGCCAACUCCGUG
RNAcentral lists this ribosomal RNA (432 nucleotides) under uncultured bacterium. RNAcentral's name for it is "partial 16S ribosomal RNA". It matches the Rfam family "Bacterial small subunit ribosomal RNA", at positions 29 to 507 of the family's 1533-position model. The record is from RNAcentral.